Non-coding RNA from Crucibulum laeve, 89 nucleotides. The record is from the annotation of a GenBank genome assembly. Lineage: Eukaryota; Fungi; Basidiomycota; Agaricomycetes; Agaricales; Nidulariaceae.
GCUUGCCUAGCUCAAUCGGAUAGAGUAUCAGACUCUUAUUCAACCAAUGCGGUGGCCUGAAGGCUAGGGGUUCGACCCCCCGGUGGGCU